CGGCCGCGGCGGCGGGGCCGGGAGCGAGCGAGGGAGCGAGCGAGCGGCUCGGGGGAGUUCGGAGGCGCCAGGCCCCCGGGGGAGGGCGGCCGGGGAGGCAGGCCCCCGAGAGACCUGUCGGGUUGGAUUUUGGGGCCGAGGGGGCGCCUGACCACUGACCUCGUUCUUCAGACGCCCCCCAGCCCCGGCCGCUGACGGGGGGCUGAGGGGCGCCGUCUUGCCUCUGCCGCGGUGACGCGCGGGGCGGUAAGGAGAACCGGGAGAGGAACCGUGACGAGAACCGCAAGGAGAACCGGGAGAGGAACCGUGACGAGAGCCGCGAGGAGCCGCGCGGUCUCCCCGGGGAUGUCCCUCAGGCGGCCAGAGAAAGCGACUCACUCGAGCCCUGGGCAGCGAUGGCAGAGGAACAACAACAGCCGCCACCACAGCAGCUCGAUGCCCAUCAGCAGCUUCCCCUCAGCGCCCCCAA
Molecule: long non-coding RNA, 469 nt
Filed under: Rattus norvegicus (Norway rat)
Lineage: Eukaryota; Metazoa; Chordata; Mammalia; Rodentia; Muridae
Description: long non-coding RNA NONRATT028725
Source: RNAcentral